ACCAGCACCAGCUUAACAGGAAUGACAUGAUCUGGAUGCGACAGUGGCAGUUUUCCCUUAACAUCCCUGCCCCCUAAAGAUUUGAGAUCAAAUUUCACACUCUUAAGUAACAGCAAUUUGUCUUUCACGGUUUUAAUCAUAUUGACUAAAAGCAUUUGUCUUUUCCAGAACAUCACAUUAAGUCACCCAAAAAUAUAAAAAUUAAAAAGAUGUAAUUAUUGGCAAUAAAAAACAUAAAAGGUGAGCUUUCGAAAUAUCUUUGAGAAAUUUAUUCAUUAUGAACACAUGGAAUCUGUUGGAACAAAGUUCUAGGACAAUUCAGCCCAUCCUUCAAUAAUUGCAGAAAACAGCACAAAGAAAACUUGAUAUUUAUACUUAGUUGGAAAUUUUAUCCUACAGUCAUUAAAUACAGAGAUCAUAUAAAGGAAUAGAGGAAGAUGUUGAAAACUAAACUAACUCAAAUCAUCAAUAUUCUUACAAAGUGCACACUGAAUUAAUGUAAAAGUAUUUACCAAACAAAAAGUAUUUUCAAUACAUAAUUAAGACUGAAAAGUAUUGAGGCCUCAUAAACUGAACCUGAUACAACAAAUUUCAAAGGGAAACUAAUUUGGAAAUCAGAAAAUCAUCUAAGGAAUUUGAGAAUUAGGCUUCUGUUGCCCCCUCUGCUACUGACAGUCAGGGCCCCCUCAUUGUAUUCUGUCCUCCACAUCUCUGCUGAUUGCCGUUUUGUCUAUUUCCAUUUACCCCACUACUACUUGCUCAGGUCACUCUCCUUCAUUCUCAGUGUUUGUUCAAAUUCCUCACACCCAUCCACUUCCCAUCUAAAUUUCCCUCCCCUUUUGUCCCUCGCUGGCCCUACCUCCCUCUUCUCUUGUUUUCUCCUCACGAUCCUGCCCCACCUCGACAUCCACAGCGAUACAGUGAAGAAGCCCCUGCCAAGGAAGAGCCCACUUCUCAGUGGGGCACCGGGAAGAUUUCAGAGGAGAGCCUGGUGUCACUUACAGCAGACAUUGCAGA
This 1017-nucleotide long non-coding RNA is filed under the name Macaca fascicularis (crab-eating macaque). RNAcentral's name for it is "lncRNA (ENSMFAG00000050496.1)". Lineage: Eukaryota; Metazoa; Chordata; Mammalia; Primates; Cercopithecidae. The record is from RNAcentral.